GAGAUGUGUGAUGACGCAUAUCAAUAAGCGGAGGAAAAGAAACUAACAAGGAUUCCCUUAGUAACGGCGAGUGAAGCGGGAAGAGCUCAAAUUUGAAAUCUUCAAGGUUCUACCUUGACGAAUUGUAGUUUAUAGAAGUGUUUUCUGUUAGUAGAGUGGCAAAAGUUCUUUGGAAUAGGACAUCAUAGAGGGUGAGAAUCCCGUAUUUGGUCAUUCUUUCUAGCUUUGUGAUACACUUUCAACGAGUCGGAUUGUUUGGGAAUGCAGUCCAAAAUGGGUGGUAAAUUUCAUCUAAAGCUAAAUAUUGGCGAGAGACCGAUAGCGAACAAGUACCGUGAGGGAAAGAUGAAAAGAACUUUGAAAAGAGAGUUAAACAGUACGUGAAAUUGUCAAAAGGGAAGCGUUUGACACCAGUGUUGUUUUUCCGAAAAUCAAUUACGAAUGUUUUGUUUUUAAGAAGUUAUGACUUCAUCGGCUUGCUUCUUUCUUUACGAAACUUUCUUAAUGCACUUUUCGGUUAACAAGUCAACAUCAAUUUCUUUUGUUGUAAAAGGGUACGAGGAAGGUGGCUUUCUUUUCGGAGAAAGUGUUUAUAGCCUUGUACCUCUGCAAUCGGAGAGAUUGAGGUCUGCAGCGUAGAUCCUUCGGGGUUAGAUACAUUUGUGCUAAGCUAUAGCCUUGUAUAGACAACUUGUUGACUAUGCUCAGUCAUGUAGCUUACUCGCUUAUGCUAUUUUACCUACGCUUAGGAUGUUGACAGCAGUAUAGACUGU
This 773-nucleotide ribosomal RNA is filed under the name uncultured Neocallimastigales. Its description in RNAcentral is "partial large subunit ribosomal RNA". It matches the Rfam family "Eukaryotic large subunit ribosomal RNA", at positions 23 to 640 of the family's 3401-position model. The record is from RNAcentral. Lineage: Eukaryota; Fungi; Neocallimastigomycota; Neocallimastigomycetes; Neocallimastigales.